GCCUGGCUAGCUCAGUUGAUGGAGCAUCAGACUUUUAGUCUGAGGGUCCAGUGUUCACAUCCCUGGUCAGGCA
This is a non-coding RNA of Chelonia mydas (Green sea turtle), 73 nucleotides long. The record is from Rfam. Lineage: Eukaryota; Metazoa; Chordata; Testudines; Cheloniidae.